AUGAACCCCCGCCAUGUCCUCGAGCUCCUGCGCCAGUGCCGCUCCAUCCGACACCUCGACCAGCUCCAGGCCCACCUCCUCGCCCACGGCCCAUCCGCCGUGGCCUCCCUCGCCUCCCAGCUCGUCGCCUCCUACUGCGCGCUCUCCGGUGGCGCCGGACACGUGGGACUCUGCCACGCCCGCCGCCUGUUCGACAGAGUUCCCGACCCGGACAGGUUCGCGUACAACCGCCUUAUCAGGGCGUACUCCAACAGCGGUUGCCCCCAGGAGGCGCUGUGCCUGCACCGCGACGCCCUCCGGCGUGGCAUCCUGCCGAACGAGUUCACGCUGCCCUUCGUGCUCAAGGCGUGCGCCCGGGCGCGGGCCGCAGAGCAUGCGGUGGCCACCCAUGGAGUGGCUGUCAAGCUGGGGUAUGUGCGGCAGGUGUUCGUGGGAAACGCACUUCUGCACUCAUAUGCGUCGGUCGGGUCGCUGAGGGACUCUAGGCGGUUCUUUGCCGAGAUGGCGCCAGACAGGAAUGUCGUGUCAUGGAACACGAUGAUCGGAGGAUGUGCACAGGCAGGGGAGACCAGCGAGGUGUGCGCCUUGUUUGGAGAGAUGAGGCGCCAAGGAGUGUUGGCCGAUGUGUUCACGUUCGUCAGCCUGCUUCUCGUUUGCUCGAGUGAGGGAAAUCUUGAGGUUGGUCGGCUGGUGCAUUGUCAUAUGUUGGCUAGUGGGUCCCGGGUAGAUCUGAUUCUUGGCAAUGCACUGGUAGACAUGUACGGUAAGUGCGGGGAUCUGUGGAUGGCUCAUAGAUGCUUUGACAUGAUGCCCAUAAAGAAUGUCGUUUCGUGGACUUCCAUGCUUUGUGCCCUGGCAAAACAUGGCUCUGUUGAUGCUGCGAGAGAUUGGUUUGAGCAGAUGCCGGAGAGGAACAUAGUCUCCUGGAAUGCCAUGAUCUCUUGCUAUGUUCAGGGUGGCCGAUUCCGUGAAACUUUGGGUAUUUAUAACCGUAUGAAAUCUCUAGGUCUCACUCCAGAUGAGGCUACCUUGGCUGGUGUCCUCUCUGCCCAUGGACAAAAUGGUGAUUUGGCCUCUGGAAGGAUGAUACAUUGUUAUAUUAAAGAUAAUUUUAGUGAUCCUGGUGUCACUCUACUUAACUCACUUCUUGAUAUGUAUGCAAGAUGUGGUCAGGUAGACACAUCCAUAAGCUUGUUCACUGAGAUGCCCAAUAAAAACACUAUCUCUUGGAAUGUGCUUAUUGGAGCGCUAGCCAUGCAUGGGCGUGCACAAGAGGCAGUCAUGUUCUUCAGAGCUAUGAUAUCUGAUGCCUUCUCCCCUGAUGAGAUCACAUUUGUCGGUCUUCUUUCUGCAUGCAGUCAUGGUGGUCUACUAGAAGAUGGACAGUAUUACUUCAAAGCCAUGAGACAUGUUUACAAUGUUAAGCCUGAAGUUGAGCACUACGCUUGCAUGGUUGAUCUGCUUGGUCGGCGUGGCCAUCUUGCAAAAGCUGUUGAUCUGAUAAAAGAUAUGCCAAUGAAGCCUGAUGUUGUGGUUUGGGGUGCAUUAAUUGGAGCCUGCAGGAUCCAUGGCAAUGUAGAGAUCGGCAAGCUAGCGAUCAAACAACUGCUUGAGCUGGAGGGAAUGAAUGGAGGCUUGUUUGUCCUAAUUUCUAAUUUAUUGUAUGAAACUCACCAGUGGGAGGACAUGAGAAGGCUCAGGAAGCUAAUGAGAGAGCGGGGAACAAAAAAGGAUAUGGGUGUUAGUUCAAUUGAAGUAAAUAACAGCAUACAUGAAUUUGGAGUGGAAGACACCAGACAUGAAAGCUCAAGUGAGAUAUACGAGGCAGUUGAUCAGUUGGCAUAUCAUUUAGUCUCUCUGCAUGUCCUGGCUGUGCAGCCUGUAGAACUCAUCAUGGAAGAGUGA
Molecule: ribosomal RNA, 1905 nt
Filed under: Triticum aestivum (bread wheat)
Lineage: Eukaryota; Viridiplantae; Streptophyta; Magnoliopsida; Poales; Poaceae
Description: partial small subunit ribosomal RNA
Source: RNAcentral